UGGAGUGGUAGUUCAGUUGGUUAGAAUACCUGCCUGUCACGCAGGGGGUCGCGGGUCGAGUCCCGCCAUUUCAU
RNAcentral lists this transfer RNA (74 nucleotides) under Marinomonas maritima. RNAcentral describes it as "tRNA-Asp". It matches the Rfam family "tRNA". Rfam says of the family: Transfer RNA (tRNA) molecules are approximately 80 nucleotides in length. Their secondary structure includes four short double-helical elements and three loops (D, anti-codon, and T loops). Lineage: Bacteria; Pseudomonadati; Pseudomonadota; Gammaproteobacteria; Oceanospirillales; Oceanospirillaceae. The record is from RNAcentral.